Mus musculus (house mouse) is the source of this 954-nucleotide long non-coding RNA. RefSeq annotates it as predicted gene, 53383. The record is from RefSeq and is a predicted model, not a curated record. The transcript is spliced from 3 exons. NCBI's taxonomy places the organism in Eukaryota, Metazoa, Chordata, Mammalia, Rodentia, Muridae.
GCUUAUACUAUUUUCUUGGAUAAGUUAGUUAUUGCAUCACUGUGCCUACAGUUUCUGAUGGAUACAAUUGAAGGGAAGGGACAUUCUUUAGACUCAUGCAGAGAAUUUCCAUCCAUCAAGGCAGGAAAGGCGUUACAGGAUGAGGAUGUGGGAGGAUCUGUUCAUAUCACAGAAAAUCAGGAAGCAGGGACCAAGGCUGGCACCCAUGACCUACUUUCAUUACCUAGGCUUCAUCUACCAAACGUCUCACAGCCUCUCAAAAUAGCACCAUCAGAGGAAGAAUGACUAGUCAAAUACGAGCCUGUAAAAGGUACCCGAAUUCUGGUUUAGAUUGUUUUGAGAGAUACAAGAUUUGCUGAGAUAAGAGCUCAGAAAAUUUGGAUUUUAAUCUCAGGUUUUAUCCAUGGACAACUAUCUACAUUUGGAAAUAAACUUAUGGGACUAGUUUCAGAUUUGGAAUGAUCUAACUACUGGGAUAUAUCGGCCUCAUCGCAGCAGUUGUCAUUUUCAAUGCACACAGACACUCUAAGCAGGGCAAUCCAGAAAUUUGGAACAUGAUCUCAUGCUGCUGUUUGGGUUCUAUUUGUUUCAUAUUUUUAAAAAUGUUAUAGUUUGGGUAUCAAAUGUCCCCUCUACAGAUGUUAAAUGCUUGGUUGUCACUGAUGGAUUUAAUAAUUGACUCAUGAUAAAGCUAACUUCAUUAAUAAGUAUAAUCUGCUGAUAGAUUCAUCAUUGGGUUUCAGAAUUAUGGGAAAGUAGUAGAAAGUAAGUGGGGGUGUCUAGUCUUGAGAUAGGCAUCAUGCCUUUCUGGCAUGAUGCUCCUGCCUUAUUAUGGUCAGGAAAGCAAUGGAGCCAACUGAUGACCAUGGUCUCAAAUCUGUGAACCUAUAAGCAAAAUAAAUCAUUCACUCUUAAGUUAGUUUUUGAGUAUUUUUCUCCCAGUGGUGCAUGCCU